Molecule: ribosomal RNA, 253 nt
Filed under: uncultured bacterium
Lineage: Bacteria
Description: partial 16S ribosomal RNA
Rfam family: Bacterial small subunit ribosomal RNA
Source: RNAcentral
UACGUAGGGCGCAAGCGUUGUCCGGAAUUAUUGGGCGUAAAGAGCUCGUAGGCGGUUUGUCGCGUCUGCUGUGAAAACCUAAGGCUCAACCUUGGGCUUGCAGUGGGUACGGGCAGACUAGAGUGCGGUAGGGGUGACUGGAAUUCCUGGUGUAGCGGUGAAAUGCGCAGAUAUCAGGAGGAACACCAGUGGCGAAGGCGGUGCUCUGGGCCGGUACUGACGCUGAGGAGCGAAAGCGUGGGGAGCAAACAGG